CAGUAGCCACGGGAAUACGGAGGGUGCAAGCGUUAAUCGGAAUUACUGGGCGUAAAGCGCACGCAGGCGGUCUGACAAGUUAGAUGUGAAAUCCCCGGGCUUAACCUGGGAACUGCAUUUGAAACUGUCAGGCUGGAGUCUUGUAGAGGGGGGUGGAAUUCCAGGUGUAGCGGUGAAAUGCGUAGAGAUCUGGAGGAAUACCGGUGGCGAAGGCGGCCCCCUGGACAAAGACUGACGCUCAGGUGCGAAAGCGUGGGGAGCAAACAGGAUUAGAUACCCCGGUAGUCCCCGUCUCUUAUAC
Molecule: ribosomal RNA, 301 nt
Filed under: uncultured bacterium
Lineage: Bacteria
Description: partial 16S ribosomal RNA
Rfam family: Bacterial small subunit ribosomal RNA
Source: RNAcentral